UUCUCUCAGUCUCUUUCUCUGUGUCUGCCUUUCAAAUAAAAUGAAAGUAAAUAAAUAUGCUUUUAAAAUGGACAGCCACUCUCCGUCUCUGGGCAGAGAGGUGCACACUCUCCCUCCCCUUCCCAGAGCCUUUCCCGGGCUGCUGCCAGAACAGCCAGGCUUGGGCUCCCUGUCACGUGUCUGGCUCUCCCAAGGGGCCUCCCGGCAUGUGGUGCACUCUCCUCGCCAUGUGACCCUCUCCUGCUGUCACCCUCUUGUUCCUGGCCUGGGCCUGUCAUUUUCUCAUUAUCGUCACCACCCCAGACCCAGACUUGUCCUCUGCUUUCCUGUUUCCAAUUAAGUGUUGUCCCCUCAGGCCUCCCGGGCCACACUGUUCCCUGGUUACCAGAGAGGAAAAUGACAGCAUGCAAAGGAGGGAAAGUCCCACUGGCCAGAGGCACCCAGGGCAGGGGGGCUGCCUGCAGACUGUGCAGACCCCAGGGGCACGUGGAGUGGGGAAGAAGAACCCGGAGUGACCUGCCCUCAGGACCCAACAUCCUGUGGAUCUGAUCAGCUUCUUUUGAUGGGGGGUGCCCCCCCUUCCCGUGACCUGGGUUCUUCCCCUUCAUGAAAAUAAAAUGACAGAGAAUCCGCGAUGA
Molecule: non-coding RNA, 638 nt
Organism: Oryctolagus cuniculus (rabbit)
Lineage: Eukaryota; Metazoa; Chordata; Mammalia; Lagomorpha; Leporidae
Source: RefSeq, a predicted model, not a curated record